UUUGAUCCUGGCUCAGAACGAACGCUGGCGGCAGGCCUAACACAUGCAAGUCGAGCGAGAUCUUCGGAUCUAGCGGCGGACGGGUUAGUAACGCGUGGGAACGUACCCAAAGGUAGGGAAUAGCCACUGGAAACGGUGAGUAAUACCCUAUGUGCCUUCGGGGGAAAGAUUUAUCGCCUUUGGAUCGGCCCGCGUUAGAUUAGAUAGUUGGUGGGGUAACGGCCUACCAAGUCUACGAUCUAUAGCUGGUUUUAGAGGAUGAUCAGCAACACUGGGACUGAGACACGGCCCAGACUCUACGGGAGGCAGCAGUGGGGAAUCUUGGACAAUGGGGGCAACCCUGAUCCAGCCAUGCCGCGUGAGUGAUGAAGGCCCUAGGGUCGUAAAGCUCUUUCGCCUGUGAAGAUAAUGACUGUAGCAGGUAAAGAAACCCCGGCUAACUCCGUGCCAGCAGCCGCGGUAAUACGGAGGGGGUUAGCGUUGUUCGGAAUUACUGGGCGUAAAGCGCGCGUAGGCGGACUGGAAAGUUGGGGGUGAAAUCCCAGGGCUCAACCCUGGAACUGCCUCCAAAACUAUCAGUCUAGAGUUCGAGAGAGGUGAGUGGAAUUCCGAGUGUAGAGGUGAAAUUCGUAGAUAUUCGGAGGAACACCAGUGGCGAAGGCGGCUCACUGCUCGAUACUGAC
This 683-nucleotide ribosomal RNA is filed under the name uncultured bacterium. RNAcentral describes it as "bacterial SSU rRNA". It matches the Rfam family "Bacterial small subunit ribosomal RNA", at positions 12 to 744 of the family's 1533-position model. The record is from RNAcentral.